RNA transcript from Alligator mississippiensis (American alligator), 6689 nucleotides. It is a transcript of the gene named nuclear GTPase SLIP-GC-like, with no coding region annotated. The record is from RefSeq and is a predicted model, not a curated record. The transcript has 8 exons. Lineage: Eukaryota; Metazoa; Chordata; Crocodylia; Alligatoridae.
GCUUGUCAAAGUCGGCUUUCCUGAAGUCAAGGACUUGCGUGUUGCUGACUGACUUGCCAGCUUUUCGGCAGAUGGUGAAGGUGAUCAGCUCGUGGUCGCUGUCACCCAGCUUCCCAUCGAUCACUAGGUCGCCGACUAGGUCAUCCCCAGUAGCCAGUACCAGGUCGAGCAGCGCUUUGCCUCUCGUUGGCCCAUAGACUUCUUGAGUCAGGUAGAGGUCAUCCAUGCAUGAGAGGAAGCUCUGCGACCACUCAGAUUUUGCUGAGCGAUCCUCCCACGAGAUGUCUGGGUAAUUGAAGUCACCCAUGACAACCAUGGUCCUGGAGCAAGCUACCUCAGCCAGUUCCUGGGCAAACUCCUGGUCAAGCUCAGGACUUUGGGUGGGAGGUCUGUAAUAGACUCCCACCAUUGUGUCCCCCGUGCCGUGUUCCCCACGGAUUUUAACCCAGAGGGUCUCCAGCCAUCCACCCUGGUCGCCAAUAUCGGCUUGCAGGGACGCGUAGCUUUCCUUAACAUAGAGAGCUACACCCCCGCCCCUUUUCUCUACACGAUCCCUCCUGUACAGGGUAUAGCCAUCUAUCCCCUUGGUCCAGUCAUGGGUGGAGUCCCUCCAGGUCUCCGUUAUCCCUAUGACAUAGUAAUUGUUUGCACUGAGCAGGAGGAUGAGCUCCUCCUGCUUAUUCCCCAAGCUCCUGGCAUUAGUGUACAGGCAGGCAAGUGCCCCCUGGGGGGCUCCUUCCUUGCCCACAGAUUUUACCAGGGCUGGGGCUGGGGUGGGCUCCCUUGAGUGCCGUGAUCCGCUGGCUUUGCAAGGAUUGCUCAGCAGGCCAGCAGUGGCGGUAGUCCCCCCGUCCCCCAAUGGGCUUAGUUUAAAGCCCGGUGGAGCAGGUCAGCCAGUCUGGCUGAGAAGAGCCUCCUCCCCAGGGGAGAGAUGUGGAGACCAUCUCUUCCCAGCAGCUCGCUGCCUCUCUCGCCAAAGAGCGGGCUGUGGUCAUGAAAGCCAAAGCCUUCCUGACGACACCAGCGCCGCAGUCUUUGGUUGACCACGUAGAUCCUCCUGUCCCUUCUCAGCCCAUAGCCUGAGACUGGGAGGAUCGACGAGAACACCACCUGUGCCCCCAGACCCUUAAGCCCUGCUCCCAAAUCCCUGUAGCGCCUCAUGACCUGGCUGGGAGUGCUCCGAGGUAGAACUCAGGCCUAGGCAGGAUAUGACUCACUGUUUUCCCUGUCUCUUAGGACAGGUGAACCAUUUUCCACCUCUAAACUGUGUGUUGUCAUCCUUCCCAUAAUCCCCUGCUGCCAUUUAAAUGGAAGGGCAUGACUUCUGAUGUUUGCGGAACCCACUUAACUGUUUUGUUUUUAUUUCAUCCCUUCAGGGAAAGAUGGGUGAAUGAUGUGAGUAUGUGCAGACUUCAUUUUCAGAAUAUGCAAGAGCAUUAAAAAUGAAAAACUUCUGGCAACCAAACUGGGAGGUGAUGGCUGGUGGUUCAAGAUGGGCGAGUUAUAGCAUAAAUGAAGGGUCCCUUGGAACAUGGUUUUAUAUUUCACAGAGCAAUGUCUUUUCUCCAAAGAGCACUAUUUUAGAGACUAACUCAGAGCACUGCUGUGGUCCUAGCAGUUGCCUGUUAAAUUAUGCAUAUACUGAUCGUGUAGAUGAAUCUGCUCUUUAAGGCAAGUGAUGUUUAAGAAGUGAAUGGCACACAUGGAAAGUCCAUCCAAAAUUCAAGUUGUGCUCUUUCAACCAGAGACAUCAGCUAAGACCAAAGGGCCAGGUGUAUGGGGCCAAGGAGUUAGGAAAUCAGAAGCUGGUUGGUUAGGAAGGGUUGUGCAUCAUGUAGACUUUAGACUGGGGAAAACCUCCUGGAGUGUGGGUAGUUCUUGCCGUUUUACUCAGGAGACUUCAGAAUUCACCAGCAGACUCUCCCUAUGCCUGUAGAAGGAUGUUUGUGCCCAAAAGCUUGCAAAGAACAAUUUUUCCAACUAUUUAGUUGGUCUAAUAAAAGAUAUCACAUCUACCCAAAGACCCUUGUCUGCCUAGUUCUUGCUCAGGCAUUUUAAUCUAAACUCAAAUCUUUGACCCGUGUAAAGCAGGAAGCUAGACUAGAUGAACCUCUCUGGCUUUAAAAUUGAUGAAUUUGUGAAGAUAGUUUGGCAGUCUUGGGGAAUGCAUAUAAUAACGUUCAUUGCUUCUCCAACAUAGAACUCUUUAGACAGUGAACAUGAUGCUGUCUUGGAGAGGAAUGAAAAUGUGAAGCUGGAACGGAGAAAAAAACUCAUGAGGAAGCUGAAGCUUUUUCUUCCUGCUCCCACCCCAGAGGGCAGGGCAACGAAGCCCUGGGACCCAUGGGAGCCGGCAACUUAGUUCAAUGAGGAAGCUGAAGUGCAGGCUGCCUGCAUGACUCAUCGCACCACUGCUGAUCUGCUUCUGUUUCGCAACCUCUCUUUUUACCCUCCAAACAACAAAGCUGAGAACAGGAUGCAACGGGGGCAGCUAGAUGAGCAGCAGAAGGGAGGAGCACACAAAAACUAGCAGCACGGUUUGGCACUGGGCCAUUAGCGGGGAUGGCUGAGGAUGCACGACUGAGUCCGCUAAUUCCUGUUGCAGUGCACAGUACAGGAACUGCUGUGGGACUAUGCAAUGACAAUAGGAUUUUUCUGAAACUGGUUCAAAUAGUCCACUUCAUCAGUGCUCACUGUGUGUGUGUUUGUCCUCUAGAAAGAGCUGCCAAGUGACUCGGAGAUUCUGGAUAAGGAAGAUCUAGUUUACACAGUCAGUGCCCGAGAAUACCGGCAAGAGGAGAAGCUCACUAAGGAAGAGACAGAGCAUCAACGCGUGUUUCAUCAUUUGGAUUAUCAGCGGUAUGGUCUGAAUCCGGGGGGGAAGUCCAGGAGACGCUGCUGGCAGAGAGCAUCAAGGUUUACCAGACUGGGAAGUGCAGUGACAUUGCCCUGGUGGUCACAAAGUCCGAUGACCUGAAUUUUGAGGAGUACAGGAGGGAAAGAUGGGUGAAUGAUGUGAGUAUGUGCAGACUUCAUUUUCAGAAUAUGCAAGAGCAUUAAAAAUGAAAAACUUCUGGCAACCAAACUGGGAGGUGAUGGCUGGUGGUUCAAGAUGGGCGAGUUAUAGCAUAAAUGAAGGGUCCCUUGGAACAUGGUUUUAUAUUUCACAGAGCAAUGUCUUUUCUCCAAAGAGCACUAUUUUAGAGACUAACUCAGAGCACUGCUGUGGUCCUAGCAGUUGCCUGUUAAAUUAUGCAUAUACUGAUCGUGUAGAUGAAUCUGCUCUUUAAGGCAAGUGAUGUUUAAGAAGUGAAUGGCACACAUGGAAAGUCCAUCCAAAAUUCAAGUUGUGCUCUUUCAACCAGAGACAUCAGCUAAGACCAAAGGGCCAGGUGUAUGGGGCCAAGGAGUUAGGAAAUCAGAAGCUGAUUGGUUAGGAAGGGUUGUGCAUCAUGUAGACUUUAGACUGGGGAAAACCUCCUGGAGUGUGGGUAGUUCUUGCCGUUUUACUCAGGAGACUUCAGAAUUCACCAGCAGACUCUCCCUAUGCCUGUAGAAGGAUGUUUGUGCCCAAAAGCUUGCAAAGAACAAUUUUUCCAACUAUUUAGUUGGUCUAAUAAAAGAUAUCACAUCUACCCAAAGACCCUUGUCUGCCUAGUUCUUGCUCAGGCAUUUUAAUCUGAACUCAAAUCUUUGACCCGUGUAAAGCAGGAAGCUAGACUAGAUGAACCUCUCUGGCUUUAAAAUUGAUGAAUUUGUGAAGAUAGUUUGGCAGUCUUGGGGAAUGCAUAUAAUAACGUUCAUUGCUUCUCCAACAUAGAACUCUUUAGACAGUGAACAUGAUGCUGUCUUGGAGAGGAAUGAAAAUGUGAAACUGGAACGGAGAAAAAAAAUCAUGAGGAAGCUGAAGCUUUUUCUUCCUGCUCCCACCCCAGAGGGCAGGGCAACGAAGCCCUGGGACCCAUGGGAGCCGGCAACUUAGUUCAAUGAGGAAGCUGAAGUGCAGGCUGCCUGCAUGACUCAUCCCACCACUGCUGAUCUGCUUCUGUUUCGCAACCUCUGUUUUUACCCUCCAAACAACAAAGCUGAGAACAGGAUGCAACGGGGGCAGCUAGAUGAGCAGCAGAAGGGAGGAGCACACAAAAACUAGCAGCACGGUUUGGCACUGGGCCAUUAGCGGGGAUGGCUGAGGAUGCACGACUGAGUCCACUAAUUCCUGUUGCAGUGCACAGUACAGGAACUGCUGUGGGACUAUGCAAUGACAAUAGGAUUUUUCUGAAACUGGUUCAAAUAGUCCACUUCAUCAGUGCUCACUGUGUGUGUGUUUGUCCUUUAGAAAGAGCUGCCAAGUGACUCGGAGAUUCUGGAUAAGGAAGAUCUAGUUUACACAGUCAGUGCCCGAGAAUACCGGCAAGAGGAGAAGCUCACUAAGGAAGAGACAGAGCAUCAACGCGUGUUUCAUCAUUUGGAUUAUCAGCGGUAUGGUCCGAAUCCGGGGGGGAAGUCCAGGAGACGCUGCUGGCAGACAGCAUCAAGGUUUACCAGACUGGGAAGUGCAGUGACAUUGCCCUGGUGGUCACAAAGUCCGAUGACCUGAAUUUUGAGGAGUACAGGAGGGAAAGAUGGGUGAAUGAUGUGAGUAUGUGCAGACUUCAUUUUCAGAAUAUGCAAGAGCAUUAAAAAUGAAAAACUUCUGGCAACCAAACUGGGAGGUGAUGGCUGGUGGUUCAAGAUGGGCGAGUUAUAGCAUAAAUGAAGGGUCCCUUGGAACAUGGUUUUAUAUUUCACAGAGCAAUGUCUUUUCUCCAAAGAGCACUAUUUUAGAGACUAACUCAGAGCACUGCUGUGGUCCUAGCAGUUGCCUGUUAAAUUAUGCAUAUACUGAUCGUGUAGAUGAAUCUGCUCUUUAAGGCAAGUGAUGUUUAAGAAGUGAAUGGCACACAUGGAAAGUCCAUCCAAAAUUCAAGUUGUGCUCUUUCAACCAGAGACAUCAGCUAAGACCAAAGGGCCAGGUGUAUGGGGCCAAGGAGUUAGGAAAUCAGAAGCUGAUUGGUUAGGAAGGGUUGUGCAUCAUGUAGACUUUAGACUGGGGAAAACCUCCUGGAGUGUGGGUAGUUCUUGCCGUUUUACUCAGGAGACUUCAGAAUUCACCAGCAGACUCUCCCUAUGCCUGUAAAAGGAUGUUUGUGCCCAAAAGCUUGCAAAGAACAAUUUUUCCAACUAUUUAGUUGGUCUAAUAAAAGAUAUCACAUCUACCCAAAGACCCUUGUCUGCCUAGUUCUUGCUCAGGCAUUUUAAUCUAAACUCAAAUCUUUGACCCGUGUAAAGCAGGAAGCUAGACUAGAUGAACCUCUCUGGCUUUAAAAUUGAUGAAUUUGUGAAGAUAGUUUGGCAGUCUUGGGGAAUGCAUAUAAUAACGUUCAUUGCUUCUCCAACAUAGAACUCUUUAGACAGUGAACAUGAUGCUGUCUUGGAGAGGAAUGAAAAUGUGAAACUGGAACGGAGAAAAAAAAUCAUGAGGAAGCUGAAGGUAAGCACAUGGUGAUAUGUUGGAAUCGCAGGAAAUUCAUCCCCUUUGUAUCUCUUUAGGGAAUAUGAAUUUCAUUAGUGCUAUGACACUUAGUGCUGCUGCGCUCCUCCUGCUAUACCUGUGGCACCUUCACGUGUGAUGUCUUGUGUUGCGUCAGGUUAACGGUCAUUUUACAAAGUUUAGAUGAUGGAUAUGUCUGGGCUGGUUUGCACAGGGCUGAUCUUGCCUCAGGCAGGGCUUGGAAUUGAUAUGACCUGGAGGACCCUUCCAGCCCCACUUCUCUAUGUUUUAUACAAUUAUUGCUCUAAAGCAGAACUGUUCACCUGGGCUGCUCUGACUUUAGAUGCCUUUUCUUCCCUCAGCUUUUUCUUCCUGCUCCCACCCCAGAGGGCAGGGCAACGAAGCCCUGGGACCCAUGGGAGCCGGCAACUUAGUUCAAUGAGGAAGCUGAAGUGCAGGCUGCCUGCAUGACUCAUCCCACCACUGCUGAUCUGCUUCUGUUUCGCAACCUCUGUUUUUACCCUCCAAACAACAAAGCUGAGAACAGGAUGCAACGGGGGCAGCUAGAUGAGCAGCGGAAGGGAGGAGCACACAAAAACUAGCAGCACGGUUUGGCACUGGGCCAUUAGCGGGGAUGGCUGAGGAUGCACGACUGAGUCCACUAAUUCCUGUUGCAGUGCACAGUACAGGAACUGCUGUGGGACUAUGCAAUGACAAUAGGAUUUUUCUGAAACUGGUUCAAAUAGUCCACUUCAUCAGUGCUCACUGUGUGUGUGUUUGUCCUCUAGAAAGAGCUGCCAAGUGACUCGGAGAUUCUGGAUAAGGAAGAUCUAGUUUACACAGUCAGUGCCCGAGAAUACCGGCAAGAGGAGAAGCUCACUAAGGAAGAGACAGCACCAGGGAAGCCACAUCUGGAGUCCUGUGGUCAGUUUUGGGCCCCUCUACUGCAGAAAGGAUGUGGACAAGUUGGAGAGAGUCCAGCGGAGGGCUUUGAGCAGGGGGUUGGACUAGAUGUGUCCUCCUGAGGUCCCUUCCAACCCUCAUUGUCUAUGAUUCUUAAAAGAAAUUCCUCUGUUGCAGUAAUUAUACAUUAUGUGGUUUGUUUAAUUCUGGUUAAUAUUCGGUUUGUAAAUAAAGGUUUCUGUUGCUUUGUUUGAGA